This 534-nucleotide long non-coding RNA is filed under the name Gossypium raimondii (Peruvian cotton). Its description in RNAcentral is "long non-coding RNA (GRAI_LNC002682)". Lineage: Eukaryota; Viridiplantae; Streptophyta; Magnoliopsida; Malvales; Malvaceae. The record is from RNAcentral.
ACAAUAGAGAGGGAGAAAUUCUUAGUGCAACUCUGGCAAACAAAAAGAGAAAAGGUAAACCAAUGGCCAAAAUCGGUAAGAAUGGAGCAGAAAAAGAAACUUUGGCAGACGUUCAGCAGAGCUGGGGGAGAAGAAACAACAGAAUGAUAGAGAAACUUUGGGAAUCUGAAAAUAAAAAAAUAAGAAAAAUAAAGAUAAAAUUAAAUUAAAUUAAAAAUAAAUUCAGCCCCAUUAUCCCCAAAUCCAUAAAAUUUCUCCUAAAACCAUCCAACCACUCCCACUAUUCAAAUCCCUAAAUUUUCUCUCCACACUUCCCAGUACACCUCUACCACUUCGGCAUUUUAGUUCAGUUCAAACACUUCACGGCACCACUAGCAAAAAUAAAUCCCUCGUUUGCGCAAGGACUCAAACUCCAGACUUCCAGGUUAUUUACACUCCACUGAACCACCAGACCAACAAGUCCAUUCUGACAUAUUUUACCACAUUUAAUUAUAAGUCUACUGACUAGUGAUAGGGCUUUGUUCAGAAAAAUAU